GGAAACUUGAGGGGAUUUGGGGUGAUUUGGAGGGGUUGGGGGUCUUAGGGUUCCCAAGUGUAUUUUUUGGGGUCCCCGGGGUGUUUUUGGGGCUCCCAGGUGUAUUUAAGGGUUCCCGGGGUGUUUUUGGGGUUCCCAGGUGUAUUUAAGGGUUCCUGCGGUGUUUUUGGGGCUCCCAGAUGUAUUUAACGGUUCCCGGGGUGUUUUUGGGGUUCCCAUGGUUAUUUUAGGGUUCCUCAGGUGUAUUUUAGGGUCCCCGGGUGUUUUUGGGGUUCCCAGGGUUAUUUUAGGGUUCCUCAGGUGUAUUUUAGGGUCCCUGGGCUGUUUUUGGGGUCCCCGGGGUGUUUUUGGGGUUCCCAGGCGUAUUUAAGUGUUCCCGGACUGUUUUUGGCAUUCCCAGGUGUAAUUCUGGGGUCCUCGGGUGUAUUUAAGGGUUCCCAGGUGCAUUUUAGGGUUCCCAGGGUUAUUUUAGGUUCCUCAGGGUG
Molecule: long non-coding RNA, 485 nt
Organism: Onychostruthus taczanowskii (white-rumped snowfinch)
Lineage: Eukaryota; Metazoa; Chordata; Aves; Passeriformes; Passeridae
Exons: 3
Source: RefSeq, a predicted model, not a curated record